UACGGAGGGUGCAAGCGUUGCUCGGAAUUAUUGGGCGUAAAGGGCAGGUAGGUGGUCUUACUUGUCUGGGGUGAAAUCCUUGAGCUUAACUCAAGAAGUGCCCCGGAGACGGUGAGACUAGAGUUUUGGAGAGGGUCGUGGAAUUCCCGGUGUAGCGGUGAAAUGCGUAGAGAUCGGGAGGAACACCAGAGGCGAAAGCGGCGACCUGGACAAUGACUGACACUCAACUGCGAAAGCGUGGGGAGCAAACAGG
RNAcentral lists this ribosomal RNA (253 nucleotides) under uncultured bacterium. Its description in RNAcentral is "partial 16S ribosomal RNA". It matches the Rfam family "Bacterial small subunit ribosomal RNA", at positions 524 to 776 of the family's 1533-position model. The record is from RNAcentral.